GACGAACGCUGGCGGCGUGCUUAACACAUGCAAGUCGAGCGGUAAGGCCCUUUCGGGGGUACGACGAGCGGCGAACGGGUGAGUAACACGUGGGUGACCUGCCCUCAGCUCUGGGAUAAGCCCGGGAAACUGGGUCUAAUACCGGAUAUGACUUCAUGACGCAUGUUGUGGAGUGGAAAGCCUUGUGCGGCUGAGGAUGGGCCCGCGGCCUAUCAGCUUGUUGGUGGGGUGANGGCCUACCAAGGCGACGACGGGUAGCCGGCCUGAGAGGGCGACCGGCCACACUGGGACUGAGAUACGGCCCAGACUCCUACGGGAGGCAGCAGUGGGGAAUCUUGCGCAAUGGGCGAAAGCCUGACGCAGCGACGCCGCGUGAGGGAU
This 381-nucleotide ribosomal RNA is filed under the name uncultured bacterium. RNAcentral describes it as "bacterial SSU rRNA". It matches the Rfam family "Bacterial small subunit ribosomal RNA", at positions 28 to 409 of the family's 1533-position model. The record is from RNAcentral.